Molecule: unclassified non-coding RNA, 1274 nt
Filed under: Stegodyphus dumicola
Lineage: Eukaryota; Metazoa; Arthropoda; Arachnida; Araneae; Eresidae
Description: pachytene checkpoint protein 2 homolog, transcript variant X1
Source: RNAcentral
GGCAACAAUCAGAAACUGAAGUCAACAAUGGCGGAAGAUUCGAAUUUGCAGAAAAAUGUUCAUCUGGAAAUUUUGCAAAAUGGAAAUAGUUUGUUGUCCGAAAAAGAAAUUAAAAAUUUUGUUGCUAAAUGGUUGCUCUCGCAAUCAAACUUAAUACAUGAAAAUGUUAUUUCAAUUUUUGAUGAUCAAAAUUUAGCAGAGCAUGUGAAUAGUAUUUCAGUCUAUGAAGAUUUUGAAAUUCCCACAAAUGGGACAUAUCCUAAAAUAUUUUAUCAUAUUUAUCGUUUUAACUCGAGUGCUCCUGAAAUGGAAGAACUAGAUGAUGAUCAGCGAAUAAGUACAAACUGGAUAUUGCCAACACAAGAAUUCCAUGGUCUAUGGGAUUCACUUAUUUAUGAUUCUGGAGUAAAGGAUGAAUUGUUAAACUAUGUUUCCACAGCUCUUCACUUUUCAGAGCAGUGUGUUGAUCCAAAUAUAGUUUCUUGUAACAGAGUAGUUCUACUGCAUGGCCCUCCUGGCACUGGAAAAACUUCACUUUGUAAAGCAUUAGCUCAGAAAAUCUGUAUCAGAUAUUCAUCAAAGUUUACUUAUGGGCAACUGGUUGAAGUAAAUACACAGUGUCUUUUCUCAAGGUGGUUUUCAGAGAGUGGAAAGUUGGUGAUCAGAAUGUUUCAGAAUAUAUUAAAACUAGUUGAAGAUUCUAAUGUUCUAGUAAUAGUUCUUCUAGAUGAAGUUGAAACUCUUGCUCGCUCUCGUACGUCUGCAUUAAAUGGUAAUGAGCCAUCCGAUGCUUUGCGGGCUGUCAAUGCUUUACUUACACAUUUAGAUAUGAUAAAGAAGUAUCCUAAUGUUUUAAUCUUAACAACUUCAAAUAUCACUGAAGCCAUUGAUGUUGCGCUCAUUGACCGUGCUGAUGUAAAACAAUAUAUUGGCCUACCAUCAGUUGAAGCUAUAUAUCAAAUAUAUUACAGUUGUGUUAAGGAAUUACAAAAAGUUGGAAUCAUUCGCACAUCACAGACUGUUUUAGAAUUACCAAGACUGAGUGCAGUUCUCAAACUUAAGACAUUGCAGGAUGAGCAUAUAAAUUCUGAUUUACUUAGUGAAGUCAAUCUUGAUAAAAGUUUGUUGCUGAACUCAAUUGCAAAGUAAAAAAAGUAUUGGACUCAGUGGCCGAACGUUAAGAAAAAUGCCAUUUGUAGCUUAUUCUUUAUUUAUUAAAACACCCUUGGUUAGUCUUGAUGUGUUUUUGGAUGCUCUUUCGAAAGCAGUAGACC